CUAGAUACGUAUUCGAAAAGAUGAUCGGGGCUCGUCUCCUUGCUCAAAACGGAGCUCAAAAGCUCAAGCUCCUCAACAAAGAAAAUAUGCUGAAAUGGAAAUUUUAUUGAAAAAAAAAAGUUUGUAAAAAACCUUGAGAGCACAGGCGCAAACAAGGAGAGGGCCUGAAAAAGAAAGCCCAAAAAACCAAAAAAAACAACAAAACCCAAGCCAAAAAAGAAAGCAAACAACGCGAAGCCAAAACAACAAAGGAAGAGCAAGCCACCCCACUGGC
This 274-nucleotide long non-coding RNA is filed under the name Salvia miltiorrhiza (redroot sage). RNAcentral's name for it is "long non-coding RNA (SMIL_LNC010684)". The record is from RNAcentral. Lineage: Eukaryota; Viridiplantae; Streptophyta; Magnoliopsida; Lamiales; Lamiaceae.